GGUCGUUUGGCCUAAUGGAUAAGGCGUCGGACUUCUAAGAAAGUAGUUAUCCGAAAAUUGCGGGUUCGAGUCCCGCCACGAUUA
Molecule: transfer RNA, 84 nt
Filed under: Daphnia pulex (common water flea)
Lineage: Eukaryota; Metazoa; Arthropoda; Branchiopoda; Diplostraca; Daphniidae
Rfam family: tRNA
About the family: Transfer RNA (tRNA) molecules are approximately 80 nucleotides in length. Their secondary structure includes four short double-helical elements and three loops (D, anti-codon, and T loops). Further hydrogen bonds mediate the characteristic L-shaped molecular structure. tRNAs have two regions of fundamental functional importance: the anti-codon, which is responsible for specific mRNA codon recognition, and the 3' end, to which the tRNAs corresponding amino acid is attached (by aminoacyl-tRNA synthetases). tRNAs cope with the degeneracy of the genetic code in two manners: having more than one tRNA (with a specific anti-codon) for a particular amino acid; and 'wobble' base-pairing, i.e. permitting non-standard base-pairing at the 3rd anti-codon position.
Source: Rfam by way of RNAcentral